Molecule: transfer RNA, 85 nt
Filed under: Felis catus (domestic cat)
Lineage: Eukaryota; Metazoa; Chordata; Mammalia; Carnivora; Felidae
Also listed under: 2 other names
Rfam family: tRNA
About the family: Transfer RNA (tRNA) molecules are approximately 80 nucleotides in length.
Source: Rfam by way of RNAcentral
ACCUGGGUGGCUCAGUAGGCUGAGCGUCUGACCUUAGCUCAGGUCAUGAUGUCACAGUUCGUGAGUUCGAGCCCCACCUCGGGCU